RNAcentral lists this long non-coding RNA (406 nucleotides) under Panicum hallii. Its description in RNAcentral is "long non-coding RNA (PHAL_LNC000440)". The record is from RNAcentral. Lineage: Eukaryota; Viridiplantae; Streptophyta; Magnoliopsida; Poales; Poaceae.
UCCCAGCGCAGCCCGUCCCGUCUCAUCCUCUUGGCUCGCCGCCGUCGUCUAAGCUCAAGGGUAGAUCGUUCUGGGGAUGAUGAUGUCGCCGAUGUUGUUGUGCCACGGGUCGGCGAGGUGGGUGGCCAGGUUCUCCAGCGGCCCCGUGCCGGGGUACGCCGACUGCUGCACGCAGAACCCCACGAACGCCAACAUCGCCAGCCGGCCUGCUCAUGCACGACGCCCAGAUAAUUCGCUAGUGUUCGCGGCACAUCAGGUGCUUAUUGGUUUCAGUACAAUGAAGAUCGAGGCCGGGAGGCUCGCUUACCGUUCUUGAUCUCCUUGAGCUUGUACUCCUCGAACUUGACGGGGUCCUUGGAGAAGCCGAGCGGGUCGAAGGCGCCGCCGGGGUACUUCUUCUUCUCGG